CAUCAAUCAUUUGGAAAAUAUUAAUUCAUUGAGUGAAUAUUUGACCUUUCAAAUGUUGGCUAUACAAUAUUUUGAAAAAUCACAUUUGUUACUAUCACUGAUCUCAUUAGAAAAGUCUUUGAGGCAUUGGGAAGCUGUCUGGUUUACACAAGCAGGUACAAGUUUACCAAAAUUCAAAGUUUUGCUUGAAGGUUCAAAUGUUAUUUUCAGCAACGAAUAAUGUUUGUUAUUUUCCUUGAAGUGACAGGCUCUCUAUUUAGUCUCAAGAAAAAGUUUGUCAAAUAGCCAAGGCUGAAUAACAAUAGUUUGCAGUCAGUUGUCUUUUAGGGAAAAAAUGCUUCCAUGCAAAAAUAGGCUAUUUCAGCCUACAACUCAUAGCAAGUGUGUAAGUAUUAGAGUAUACUGUAAGUGCUUCAUGCUCACAAUUACUACAAAUGUCAACAUGGUAAAGAAGGCAAAUAACGUCUUAAUAUUAUUUAAAAAAUAGUUUUGAUCUUAUGCUCCUGCAAAAGGAUCUUAGAGAAGCCCAGGGGUCCACAGACCACACUUUGAGAGCCGCUGCUCUAGGGUAUUCUAACAUUAAAUUACAAGACUCAUUGACCCCACACAGAUGAAAUUUACAACAAUAUGGCUUUUAAUUAAUCAACUUUUCCUGCAACUUCUACCCUAUCAGGAACAAAUAAGCCAAGAGCAAAAUGUUACAAAAGAUUGUGAUAACUGAGUUUAAGAUCAAUGUACGAGAACUGUCUUAUCAAUAUCACCCAUAAUUAUUAGUGUAAAGAAGUCACAAAAUGUCUUUUAAAAAAUUCUACCCUGAAAAUAUUUCAGAAUGUAAGAAGUGGCAAUAAUUAUAAUAAGUGGCUACAAACUCCACUUUGAAUGCAUUUUCAGCAGCUUUUUUCCUAAACAUUUAUCACGUAUUAUUUUAUUUUAACAUGUCUCUGUGAUAUGGGUACAUAGGACUUGAUAUCAUCUCUGUUUUAGAGAUGAGGAAACUGAGAAAAAAAUGACUAGAUUCACCCACCAUUGCCUAGGAAACUGGCGGUGGAACUGGGUAGCUCUCCUGAUGAAUAUUUCAAUGCCUUUUCUUUUUCACCCUGUGGAAUCACUUGGCCAGCCAGACUCAGCAAACACGUUUCAUGUCAAUAAAAAGAGAAUAUUCCAAUGAGCCCAGUGACUUUGGAAAUCCCUAAAGUGGAGUGUUCCAAGUAACUGAAAACCUGGGGGGAAAGAGUGACCUCUGUGAGCUUUUCCAGCUUCCACUUCUGCUGAUGGGUGGAAGUUCAUAGGAAGGAAGACAUUCUCUUAGCCUGGGCUAUGUCCCUUGCUAAAUUUAGGAUUCCAGAUUAUAGAAACACCCUCAGAUGACCAAGCCCUCCACCCCUGAUGUUCUGGGAGCUCUCAUUCUGAAAGAACAAAUGCAUUUUUCCUUCCCCUUUGGAACCAGAUAGUAAACUUGGCCAAGGAGCCUGCCAGCCACUGGCCUGGUGUGAGUGAGUGGGGUGAUUAUUUGGAGAUUUAGGCAGAAAGUGUUGAAGGGAAAGAGGCUGUGGGUGGGGAGGGACAAUCAGCUAAAGAGAUGGGAAGUAUCAUCCUCUUGUCUUGUUAAAGCAGAAAACUGUUUAAAAUGUCAUGCCCAUAUUUACUAGCUGUUUAUAGGUAACAGAAUCUCCUCUGUGUGUCGUCAGUGAGUAAUUGCCAUAACAAUGUUGUAUUUACAUGACCCAUAUUUUACCCCACAAAGGCAGAGAAGAUCCUUAAAGAAAUUGCAUAUACCUCUAUGGUGUGUAGAGAAGAACAGCUGCUUUCCUCCCUCUUCCUACUCAUAUGGCUCUUGAAAAUGCUCUCAGCCUCUUCCUUUAAUAAUUUCCAUCAUGUCCUCCUCUGCCCUUUAGAUUGUAGCACACGAUUUAAAUGGAAGGUGCAGGGAAGUGUUUCUGAGUGGUUUGCCUGACUCAAGCCACCUGGUGGGCAAGGGGCAGCAUCUGAGAGGCUUCCUUCCACAGCCCGCCUCUUAGGGCCCAAGAGAUAACAAGACCACAUGCAGCUCAGAUGCAAUCACUUCUUAACAUAGCUCAGAGGCAAUCACUUCUUAACAUUUGAGAAAACUUGCCUGGGUGAAAAACCAUUUUCCCAGACAGCAAUUUGCCUAGGAGUUGCAAUGACAUUGUCUUUCUGUGCCAAGAAUAUCAAUCAGUUCAAAAGUCCCUCUCCUGAGAGCCACUGGCAAGAUCCUGGGCGUGCACACACAAGCAGUAUCUGUAACCCUGCUGCUUGGGGUUAGUGUAAAUGUCAAGGCUGUGUAUUAGAAUUAAUUGUUCUGCCACUAUCUGCUCUUCCUUUCUCUUUUCCUCCUUUUGUAUAAUCGUUUGCCUUUUUUUUUCUCCCUCGAUCUUGUUGUUUCUAGCUUUAUUGUUCUCAGUUUAGACUUGUGAGCCUUUGGGAUGAAAAGUGAUGUAAACUCUUGGAGAGGAAAGAACCCUGGAUCAUAGGCCAGAAGGCCUAAGUCCCAGUAACACUCUCAUCCGUUAGUCCAGUCACAUCACUAACCUAUCUCCACCUCAGUUUUCCAUCUCAAACUGGAGAUAAUAAUCUGUAUAUUGAUUGCUUUUUGAGACCCUUGUAAGAAUCAAUUGUUAUUAUGUAGCACUAUUGAACAUAUGUACUUACUUUCAUUACAGUACCUAGAACACCAGCUAGUGCAUAGAAGGUGCCCAAUAAACAUUUGUUGAAUUGAUGACUAUAUUUGGAAAUAUUUUGUAAACUAUGAAAUCACUACACACAUGUUUUUAUGACAUUUUUCAUAGAUGAUGCUACUAGCCUGCAGUGCUCUAGGCCUUGGGUUGUGUCUUGUCAUGUCGGCUGUGUAAACAGGCUGGCUCCUGCCAUGCCACAGGUGGCUGGGGAUCUCUUUCCAGGCCACAGCAUCUACUUGGUUUCUGUGAUUCCAAUUCCUGUGUGGAUCUGACCCACUAACUAGAAGUUUGCGCUAAGUGAACCUUGGUGUGUAAAUGUUGGUGCUGGAGGGUGAAUGUGGGUACCUUGAAGCCCUGGUCUUAUAAAUGAGUAACAUGUUUCUGUAUAACAUGGAAUGAUACAGAUGAUGGCAUUGAGAAUCCUGCUGGUCUCGGAAAUUUCAAGGGAGUUCUAGACCAGAUCAAACAAGAGACAAUGGAAGAUACCAGUAUUUGGCAAAGGAAAGACAUUUAGAAUUUAGAAGUAUUCUAAAGGAUGAUUUCUUUUUUUUUUUCUUUCUUUCUUUUUUUUUUUUUUUUUUUUUGGAGACAGUCUCACUCCUUCACCCAGGCUGGAGUGCAGUGGCGUGAUCUCAGCUCACUGCAAACUCUGUCUCCUGGGUUCAAGCGAUUCUCAUGCCUCAAUCUCCUAAGUAGCUGGGAUUACAGACAUGCGCCACCACGCCGGGCUAAUUUUUGUAUUUUUAGUAGAGAUGGGAUUUCACCAUGUUGGCCACGCUGGUCUCAAUCUCCUGACCUCAGGUGAUCCACCUGCUUUUGCCUCCCAAAGUGCUGGGAUUACAGGUGUCAGCAACCACACGCAGCUCUAAUGGAUGAUUUCUAUUUACAUCCUUCUUAUAGACUGAGACAGAUCCCCCUAAAAUUCAUGUGUUGGGACCCUAGCCUCUGUAUUUGGAGACAGAGUCUGUGAGGAGAUGUUAAAGGAUAAAUAAAGUCAUAAGGUUAGGGUCUUAAUCCAAUGAGGCUGGUGUCCUUAUAAGAAGAAAAGGAGAUACUAGAUCUCUCUUUCUCCCUCCACUCUUGUCUUCUGCUCCACAAAGGAAAUAUCAAUGGAUAUUCCUCACAAGUCUAAACUGAGAACAGUAAAGCUAGAAACAACAAGAUCGAGGGAAAGAAAAGGCAAAAGAUUAUACAAAAGGAGGAAAAGAGAUAGGAAAAGCAUAGUGGCAGAACAAUUAAUUCUAAUACACAGCCUUGACAUGGAGCAAGAAGGAGGCUGUCUGCAAGCCAUGAAGAGAGAGCUCUUACCAGGAACUGAAUCGGCCACCUUGGUCUGAAACUUCUAGCUUCUAGCUUCCAGAACUGUGUGAAAAUAAAUGUCUGUGCCUUAAGCUACCCAGCCUAUGGUAUUUAUUAUGGCAGGCCAAGCUGACUAAUACAACCCUCACCUCCUCUGUCUCAUUUCUGGGUAGCUAUCCUGAAAUUCAUGAUUCUGACAUUCUCCUAUAUGCAAAGAACAUUGAAGUCUAUGAGCAGACUGAAUGUAUAUGUCUAAAUAUCCUUGUGAACUAAGCAUGAUGGAAGAGAGGAGACAAGAAUAGCCACACUCCACUGAAUGACAAGUCAAAGAUUGCAAUGAGCAACUCUUUUACCUGGCUUGCCUGAGAUAAUUUUGAUACAUUACACUAAGCUUCAGGAGAGUGAAAGGGUGUAGGUUAUGUCAAUUAGCUUGUGGACUUUUUGCAAACCAUGUGAUUAAGGCUGGUGACAUUCUGCAUCAGGUUUUAACAAAACAAGGUUUCUAAAGUUAGUUUGGAUACAUUGAUUUUUCUUACACCACCACUGUUGCUAGUUGGGUAUAUUAAGUGAUAUUAUAGCAUACGUGCAAAGGGAAAUGAUUAUUUGGGACAGUGAAAAAAACUGUAUAUUCAAUGUGAUGAUAGAACAAGUGUGAAGGCUGAGUUUGGCAAUUUUGGGUUUGAUCCUCAACCUCUAAUUUUUGCAAGUUUGGAGCCAUGAUCUUCUAAUUAUUUAGCACAAAUGUUGAAGAAGUUAGACACAAAUGAGUCAAAGUUAAUCUAUCACAUUCAUUUUUAAACUUUAGUGUUUCUAUGAAUCAUCUGAAGAGCUUGUUAAGAGCCAGUGAGUUUUCGGGUGAGCCUCAGAUUUUGUAUUUCUAACAAGUUUCAGCUCAUAUCAAUGCUGCUGGUCCAUGAACUGUACUUGGAGUAGCAAGGAUCUAGAAUACUGUGUGUCAGAUGGAAAGAUGAGACAUUUAGUUUUUCUCCAUGAAUAAAAUACGUGAGAUUCAACUGUUGCUUUGUUUUGCAAUACUAUGGGAUUCCUCUCUAAAAAUUGUUCAAAAUCUCAUGCUUUGAAGAACUACAUUAUAUGGAUUGUAAAAUGACUUAAGCAGGAAGUACUUGACAUGAAUAUGUGCUUAAUAAAUAUUGAUUGGUUGAUUUCUGAAAAGUAGAUCUUCAGAGAUGUAAGGCAAAUGUCUUCCAGUAAUAUAAAAUGAUACAUCCCUACUUAGGGGAUCUAGGAUGCUAUGCAUUGAGACAAGACAAAGUUUAUGGUGUCAGAGCCAGAGAGAAAGCAAGGGUGAUCUGAGCCCAGCAACACAGCUCCAUUGUAAAUAGCUGCUCACCUGGGGCAAACAAGUGCUAUAGGAUAUGAUAAGGAAGGUUCAUUUCAUCAUUUUAUGGCUGUGUACAUCCUGGAGUGAAGGAAAGGCAUUAACGAGUUUGGUAAGAGCUGGCAAAGCCAGAGUCCUUAUUUGCAAGGCAUGGUAAGCCUAUGGGUGUGUUAUCAUUUACUUCAUUGUGAUUUACGACAGUCCUACUGCUGAUUAUACCUCUCUGACCCCCUCAGGGUUGGUUGGAAGUUGUUUAGAUCCUACCUUUUUCUCUCCAGACACCAGAGACUGCCAGAACCACGCUCACCUGUGAGUGAAACAAGCAAAUUCCCUGGCAUCAAGGGGAAGUUAAAACUUCUAUUUGAAACAACUUUUUGAACACUUUUGGCAUAUGUGGAAAUGUACAUAUACACACACGCAUAUGUAUGUGGAUUAUGUAAGGGGUUAUAAUAAAGUAAAAUUAAGAUUCAAGAGCAUUUUUGACUUUAAGAAAAAUAUUCCUGACCCAUGCACUCUUAUGUAACCUGAUCCCUCAGAAGCAUACAAGAUAAAUCAAAUUUACAGAGUUACAAAAAAGUGUUCACUGACUGCUGGAAAAUAUAUGAUGUCAUAUUUGUGGUUAAUGGCCUAAGUUAGAUUAAAAAGAUGCACUUUUUUGUAUUUUGAUGAUUUGUCCUUUGUUUUUUCUGUUUUAGUUAGACUUGACCAUGGAAUUGAUACUCUGUCAAUAAAUUCUUUAUCUUUCACUGUUGCCACUGGUAAGAAUAGCUAAAGGUUUUGCAGGAUAAUUGCCUUGAAGAAGGUAUCUUCAGAAUCCAUUUAUUUCAAUUAUUUGCCAAUAUUAUUCAAAAUUUCUUGUCUUCUUAUCACUAUCAAUGAGUAGAAAUUUUCAGGAUUGCUAAGAGUUUGUUAUGCUUUGUGGGAGAAAUUCUGUGUAAGAUUGAGUUUUGAAAAAAUUCCAUGUUGCAUAAUCUGGGGAAAUGCCUGUUCAUGCCUAUAUCUGAGCAAACUUUGUAACUUGUUUAUAAAGGAAAAAAGAUUUGAAAUUUAAAAUUUGGCAAUUAGGAGCACAUUAACUCUCCUUGUCUACAAUUUUUAUCGCACCAUAAAAAUACACUUUUAAGAAAAAAAAUAGCAUUCCUUUUAAAGGUUUCUUUCAAAAGAUAUCCCUUUAGGAGAUGGGAGUUAAAUAACAAAAUCAAUUACUCUCUUUGUUGGGUAAGUCAAGGACUCCCUAAGCCCAAAUUUUGAGUGCCUCUUGGCAUCUUUGUAUAUAACAACUGGAGGUUAUCCACACAUUAAUUGCCUCUAAUACUAUUCAAAUGCAUAAUCAAAUCCAACAAGUCAUUUCUGCUUAACUGAUGCAACACAGAUGAUGCCAUGCUUCCUGAGACUGAAAGGUUUGCUAAGGAAAUUGCCUCUAAAAUUAUGGCAAGUAUAAAAUAAAGGACUAUUAGAGGAGAUACCACCUUAGCUGCUGUACCUAGGGAUACUGAUAAAGGAUAUAUCACAACACUCAUUCAUAACUGAAAGGAUAUUAAAAUCCAAAUAAAGCAAAAGACCAAAGAUAACUUAAGCCAUACCCCAAAAAGCUAAUUAACUAAUAAGUUAUUUUACUGUUUAACAGAAUGAAGAGAUUAAUGGUAGACAACUCUUUAGCUGGAAUAUUGGAAAGACUUACACAAUGAAAGCAAUAAGUGACAUAGAUCUUGCUAAAAAUCAAUAAAGCAAGUAAAGCCAGUUGGCACACUAUUUAACGUGAAUCAAUGUGAAUGAUAUCUCAUCAAACUUGAGGUGUCAUUCAAGAAGGAAUACUUGCUAUUUCUGUCUCCUAAAUUUCCAAGAAGACAUUACAAGUGUCUAAAAUGAGCACACUCUUAGGUGACCCUGAUAGAAGUGCAUUUUAUAUUUACUUGUGAAACGUGCCCCAAAAGUUAAAGAAACCAAUAACUCAUAUAAAUUCUUGGGUUUGCAGGAUGUCAGAUUAAAAACAAGAAACAGCUUCCUGAAACACUAAAACUCCCUCCACUUGUAAGACAACAAAACUGGCUGAAAUCUUUUCGAACCGAUACGGCCAGCUGGAGUUUGCACAGAACAAGCUUGCUGAUGUCACAGCCUGGAUUUCCACUGCACGUUUUAUAUUAACUCCUCCCCAAAUUUGCACAUGGGACCUAUAAGGAAGCACAAAGGGAUGACUGUGCGUGCCUGAGGGUCUUUCAGACCUCUCCUUUCCUCCCACCAAUUACCUGCUAAUCUCAGAAUCCACCCUCUUAAACCUUUUCUAGUAAAAGUAUUGCCUUAAAACCAGCACAGAGAGAUGGAUCUGAGCUUGACUCAUAUCUCCUUGUAAGUCAACUUGCAAUAAAUAGCUUUUCUUUCUCAAAAACUUGGUGUUAUAUUAUUGGAUUCUAGAACAUUGGGCAGCAAGUUCCUUUUGCUUGAUAGCACUUUUGUAUAAAUGUGUAUGUGUAAGGAUGUAAUUAACAGCAUCCUUUUAGGUUUCUGCAUUUAUAUUAGGCCAAAUCGAUAUACCUUUUAGAUAUUGCUGGACUUGGAUUCAAUUUGCUUUGUUCUCCAUUUCAUUUACUAAAAUCUGGGUCUAAUGUAAGAGUUCUUGGUAUAUUACAUAAACAUAAAUCAUUGCUGCUGAAGUUCUAAUAGGACUCUGUUGCUACUUGCAGAAACCAGCUUUGAGGUAGUCAAGGAAAGAGGAUAAAGAAAAGAACAAAACUGAGGUUUUAAUUUCAUACAUGAUUUGUGUCUUUGACAGUGCUUUUGUUUCAUACAAAACACAAACGAAAUAAAAAUUUAGGUUCCAUUUCUGUCCCUUGCCAUGUUAACUGUCCAAUAUAAAAAGAAUUGAGCAUUAUGAAGUAGGGUUCUGCAGCUUGCUAGAUAAUAAAGAUAUUGAAAGAAGGGUUCAAUUUGGGUUGGAUGCCAAUAGUGGUGAAGCAUCCUGCAUGUUCACGUUGGCUCUCCAGAACUUUCAGGACUUGAUAAUUCUGCAGGAACGCAAGGUGGGGGCCUGACUUCUCUUAAGCCACACCAAUGCCAGUUAAAUUUGGGAUUGACAGAAAAGUAGAGAAAGAAUAGUUAAGUUUGCAUGAACUUCAUUUAUGUCUUUUUUUUCAUGUGUGUAUUCAUGCAGUGUUCACUCCCUACUCACUAUAAGCCACGUGCUCUGCAAGAUACUAGGUAUACAAAGAUGAAUAAAUUUGUCCUUGAGGAACAAGUAAUUAUAAAGUUAGAAGAUAAAGAUAAAAA
RNAcentral lists this long non-coding RNA (8598 nucleotides) under Homo sapiens (human). RNAcentral's name for it is "HSALNT0101464". The record is from RNAcentral. Lineage: Eukaryota; Metazoa; Chordata; Mammalia; Primates; Hominidae.